Molecule: long non-coding RNA, 1451 nt
Filed under: Olea europaea subsp. europaea
Lineage: Eukaryota; Viridiplantae; Streptophyta; Magnoliopsida; Lamiales; Oleaceae
Source: RNAcentral
CGUGUUAAAAGGGUAAAUAUGUUGCAUUUCCAUCCAAGCAUGCCCGGAACUCGCACAUAUUUGGCAUGCUGACAGUGAGAGAGUAAUUUUGUAUAUUACAUGAAGCAAAGGCACUAGUAAAUCCAACUUAAUUACAAAUAUCAAAUCCAAUUCAAAAAUUUGAUCAACUAACCAUGUUUAAGGUUUUAACUUUAAAUUUUCCUAAUCAAUCUAAAAAUAAAAAUUACCUUUCAACUACCGAUAGAUUUUCAUAUAUUCCUUUCCCUCCACAGUUUUGUUAACAAUUUUCUAUCAUAUAAUUUUUGGGUUGAAAUCGUGUUAAAAAGGUAAAGAUGUUGCGUUUUCUUCCAAAAAUGCAUGGAACCUGCACAUGCCAUACUAACCAUGUGAAUGUAAUUUUGUAUAUUGCAUGAAAUCCAUUUAAUACAAAAGCUCCAAUAAAUCCAACUAAAUUACAAACAUGAAAUCAAAUUCAGAAAUUUGGCCAACCAAAUAUGGUUAUGUAUUUAACUUCUAAUUUCCCUCAUACAAAAAAUAAAAGUGGCUCUUCAAUUGCAAAAAUUCCGUGGCAUUUUGUUAUACUUCUUUCCCUCUACAGUUUUCUUUCACAAUUUUCUAUCAUACACCUUUUGGGUUAAGUCGUGUUAAAAGGGUAAAGAUGUUGAAUUUCCAUUCAAACAUGCAUGGGCAAUCAAAAUCAAUUUAAUGCAAAAGCUCUAGUAAAUUCAAUUAAAUUACAAACACCAAAUCAAAUUCAAGAAUUUAGCCAACUAAACUUGGUUAGGGUUUUAACUUUAAAUUUUUCUAAAUAAUCAAAAAAUAAAAGUGACUCUUCAACUGCAAAAACCCAUGGCAUUGUCAUAUACUCCUUUCUCUCUAUAUUUUCUUUCACAAUUUUCUAUCAUACAAUUUUCGAUUGUAUUAAACUUCUCCAGAAAAAUUCCUCAAUCUCAGGGCUCCGGAAAUAAUGUAAAAGCAAUCACUAUCAAUAUGAUCAUAUUUUCUUAAAAAAUUAUUAAACGAAUGUUGUCAUCAUUUCUUGAUGCCAAUAUAGUUGGGAUGAUUCACAAGAUGAUAAAUUGGCAUCUCAUUCAAAUCUAUAUGAAGUGUCAUAGGUCUCAAGCCACAUUCUGAGCAACAUUUUGACUCUCCAUUGUUCAAAGCCUAAUGCAGAAAUCUACCAUAAAGCUCUCUCUUUUAUAAUACAAGAAUUUAUGUGAGGCUUCAUAAGUGAGUGCUUCAUAGGAGAAAAAAUGGUCUUUCUGAAUUACGCGAAAGAGGUAUGGGACACCAGUUGAAGUGUGAAGCACAGGGGAAGCCUUAAGCAAUAUUUUUCCGUCAUACCUUAUUUUUUUCUCUUGACAAAGAGAGUUAUGCAAUCUAUCCACAAAAACAUGAAAGGUUAAAAAUAUGUAAAAAUGAAAUUUGUCCCGUCCAAGAAGAAUAUAUAA